This 345-nucleotide unclassified non-coding RNA is filed under the name soil metagenome. Its description in RNAcentral is "partial contains 5.8S ribosomal RNA, internal transcribed spacer 2, and large subunit ribosomal RNA". The stretch from base 1 to 120 matches the Rfam family "5.8S ribosomal RNA", at positions 35 to 154 of the family's 154-position model. The record is from RNAcentral.
GAUGAAGAACGCAGCGAAAUGCGAUAAGUAAUGUGAAUUGCAGAAUUCAGUGAAUCAUCGAGUCUUUGAACGCACAUUGCGCCCCCUGGUAUUCCGGGGGGCAUGCCUGUCCGAGCGUCAUUGCUGCCCUCAAGCACGGCUUGUGUGUUGGGCCUCCGUCCUCCUCCCGGGGGACGGGCCCGAAAGGCAGCGGCGGCACCGCGUCCGGUCCUCGAGCGUAUGGGGCUUCGUCACCCGCUCUUGUAGGCCCGGCCGGCGCUUGCCGACACAUCAAUCUUUUUUCCAGGUUGACCUCGGAUCAGGUAGGGAUACUCGCUGAACUUAAGCAUAUCAAUAAGCGGAGGA